This 880-nucleotide ribosomal RNA is filed under the name Citrobacter amalonaticus. Its description in RNAcentral is "partial 23S ribosomal RNA". It matches the Rfam family "Bacterial large subunit ribosomal RNA", at positions 1919 to 2798 of the family's 2925-position model. Lineage: Bacteria; Pseudomonadati; Pseudomonadota; Gammaproteobacteria; Enterobacterales; Enterobacteriaceae. The record is from RNAcentral.
CCCGGUAAACGGCGGCCGUAACUAUAACGGUCCUAAGGUAGCGAAAUUCCUUGUCGGGUAAGUUCCGACCUGCACGAAUGGCGUAAUGAUGGCCAGGCUGUCUCCACCCGAGACUCAGUGAAAUUGAACUCGCUGUGAAGAUGCAGUGUACCCGCGGCAAGACGGAAAGACCCCGUGAACCUUUACUAUAGCUUGACACUGAACACUGGUCCUUGAUGUGUAGGAUAGGUGGGAGGCUUUGAAGCGCGGACGCCAGUUCGUGUGGAGCCAACCUUGAAAUACCACCCUUUAAUGGCUGGUGUUCUAACGUAGGCCCGUGAUCCGGGUUGCGGACAGUGUCUGGUGGGUAGUUUGACUGGGGCGGUCUCCUCCUAAAGAGUAACGGAGGAGCACGAAGGUUAGCUAAUCCUGGUCGGACAUCAGGAGGUUAGUGCAAAGGCAUAAGCUAGCUUGACUGCGAGCGUGACGGCGCGAGCAGGUGCGAAAGCAGGUCUUAGUGAUCCGGUGGUUCUGAAUGGAAGGGCCAUCGCUCAACGGAUAAAAGGUACUCCGGGGAUAACAGGCUGAUACCGCCCAAGAGUUCAUAUCGACGGCGGUGUUUGGCACCUCGAUGUCGGCUCAUCACAUCCUGGGGCUGAAGUAGGUCCCAAGGGUAUGGCUGUUCGCCAUUUAAAGUGGUACGCGAGCUGGGUUUAGAACGUCGUGAGACAGUUCGGUCCCUAUCUGCCGUGGGCGCUGGAGAAUUGAGGGGGGCUGCUCCUAGUACGAGAGGACCGGAGUGGACGCAUCACUGGUGUUCGGGUUGUCAUGCCAAUGGCACUGCCCGGUAGCUAAAUGCGGAAGAGAUAAGUGCUGAAAGCAUCUAAGCACGAAACUUGCC